This 207-nucleotide long non-coding RNA is filed under the name Physcomitrium patens. RNAcentral describes it as "long non-coding RNA (PPAT_LNC010183)". Lineage: Eukaryota; Viridiplantae; Streptophyta; Bryopsida; Funariales; Funariaceae. The record is from RNAcentral.
GCAAUCCUUUUCUUAAAUCCAAUACUAAAGAAAAACACAAAAGCAAAGAAAACAAAAGGGUAGCUCCAAGCUUUACCCUGGCUCACGACUAUCAUAGUCUGGCCCCCAUUCCUUCUUCCUCAACCUCUUUAUCCUACCAAAAUAUGAAUCGUCAUUCAGCAGAUUCCACAGGUUGUGAAACUUUGGCUUCUUAACCACAUAUGUUCC